GUUGUAUAGUCAAGUAAUUAAGUGCAUGUGGUGGAUGCCUUGGCAGUCAGAGGCGAUGAAAGACGUGAUAGCCUGCGAAAAGCUCCGGGGAGGCGGCAAAUAUCCUUUGAUCCGGAGAUGUCUGAAUGGGGGAACCCACCUACUUUAAGGUAGGUAUUGCAACAUGAAUACAUAGUGUUGCAAGGCGAACGAGGGGAAGUGAAACAUCUCAGUACCCUUAGGAAAAGAAAUCAAUUGAGAUUCCCUCAGUAGCGGCGAGCGAACGGGGAUCAGCCCAUUAAGUUAUGUGU
This 290-nucleotide ribosomal RNA is filed under the name Acinetobacter baumannii. Its description in RNAcentral is "partial 23S ribosomal RNA". It matches the Rfam family "Bacterial large subunit ribosomal RNA", at positions 1 to 284 of the family's 2925-position model. The record is from RNAcentral. Lineage: Bacteria; Pseudomonadati; Pseudomonadota; Gammaproteobacteria; Moraxellales; Moraxellaceae.